GUGUGUGGACGUGCGGUGCGGCGCUCCGUGUUGUGGCUGGCUGGUUACGUAAACAAGCGUUACGUACGGUACGUGUAUAUUGCGUUCCUGGCGCAGCCACCCAACUUGAGUAUUGCCAGGCGUGGCGUCACGUCAUUGUCCUGGUAUUUCCCUUCUUAAGAAAGAUCAUUUGGCCUGUGAGGCCAGGAAACAACUCCCUUCUGACGGAAGUGUCACUAAAAUACAGACUCGUUUGCGUGCAGCCUUGGACAGCUCCUUGAUCCUCACUGUGGACGCCGCAGGCGAGGGGAGCCACCAACGUCGAUGAGCCCGGCAGUUGUUUGUUAUGGAAAACAGGCAGCUUACAAACAAGUGCCUCACACGCACUGCUCAUUCAGACCACGCACCUCCUGAAUUAUUCAUUUCUGACCGUUGGAUCCUAAUCUUAGACCACGUACCUUCUGAAUUAUUAAUUCUCGAUUAUUGGUACCUGAUGUGUCGUGUGGAGAACCAAAGUGUUUAGGAUCUUUGGUAGUGUUAACUCUGCCGCAUGGAGCGCGGGCAGAGAGAGUCUGGCUGGAGGAGUUCGGUGGAGCAAGUGUGCUGUGUGACACUUCCGCGAGUUGUCGCGCUUUCGGGGUUUGCCAGCAUGUAAUUGCGCUCGACUUGCUAUGAUAGUUUGUGAUACGGUGUCGCGGACGGAAAGCAUUAGCUGGCGCACAUCAAGAGCCCGUUUCGCCUGGUGACGGUGUCGAGAAGAAGGCGCGCCAACAUCUAGCUUCUCCAACAGCGACGGCCGACAAUGAGUGACUGUCGCCACCUCCUCGAUCGACGACUGCAAACCUUCAAUUAGCCAACAAGGAAGACUAAAAGCACGUAGAG
Long non-coding RNA from Schistocerca gregaria, 861 nucleotides. RefSeq lists it as uncharacterized. The transcript has 4 exons. Lineage: Eukaryota; Metazoa; Arthropoda; Insecta; Orthoptera; Acrididae. The record is from RefSeq and is a predicted model, not a curated record.